RNAcentral lists this ribosomal RNA (468 nucleotides) under uncultured bacterium. Its description in RNAcentral is "partial 16S ribosomal RNA". It matches the Rfam family "Bacterial small subunit ribosomal RNA", at positions 28 to 507 of the family's 1533-position model. The record is from RNAcentral.
GACGAACGCUGGCGGCGUGCUUAACACAUGCAAGUCGAACGGAAAGGCCCUGCUUUUGUGGGGUGCUCGAGUGGCGAACGGGUGAGUAACACGUGAGUAACCUGCCCUUGACUUUGGGAUAACUUCAGGAAACUGGGGCUAAUACCGGAUAGGAGCUCCUGCUGCAUGGUGGGGGUUGGAAAGUUUCGGCGGUUGGGGAUGGACUCGCGGCUUAUCAGCUUGUUGGUGGGGUAGUGGCUUACCAAGGCUUUGACGGGUAGCCGGCCUGAGAGGGUGACCGGCCACAUUGGGCCUGAGAUACGGCCCAGACGCCUACGGGAGGCAGCAGUGGGGAAUAUUGCACAAUGGGCGGAAGCCUGAUGCAGCAACGCCGCGUGCGGGAUGACGGCCUUCGGGUUGUAAACCGCUUUCGCCUGUGACGAAGCGUGAGUGACGGUAAUGGGUAAAGAAGCAACGGCUAACUACGUG